AACGCGAAGAACCUUACCAAGGUUUGACAUCACCCGGAAACGUGCAGAGAUGUGCGCCUCUUCGGACUGGGUGACAGGUGGUGCAUGGCUGUCGUCAGCUCGUGUCGUGAGAUGUUGGGUUAAGUCCCGCAACGAGCGCAACCCUUGUUCCAUGUUGCCAGCACGCUCCUUCGGGGGUGGUGGGGACUCAUGGGAGACUGCUGGGGUCAACUCGGAGGAAGGUGGGGAUGACGUCAAGUCAUCAUGCCCCUUAUGUCUUGGGCUGCAAACAUGCUACAAUGGCCGGUACAGAGGGCUGCUAAGCCGUAAGGUGGAGCGAAUCCCUAAAAGCCGGUCUCAGUUCGGAUUGGGGUCUGCAACUCGACCCCAUGAAGUCGGAGUCGCUAGUAAUCGCAGAUCAGCAACGCUGCGGUGAAUACGUUCCCGGGCCUUGUACACACCG
This 442-nucleotide ribosomal RNA is filed under the name uncultured bacterium. Its description in RNAcentral is "bacterial SSU rRNA". It matches the Rfam family "Bacterial small subunit ribosomal RNA", at positions 958 to 1392 of the family's 1533-position model. The record is from RNAcentral.